This 1266-nucleotide ribosomal RNA is filed under the name Triticum aestivum (bread wheat). RNAcentral's name for it is "partial small subunit ribosomal RNA". Lineage: Eukaryota; Viridiplantae; Streptophyta; Magnoliopsida; Poales; Poaceae. The record is from RNAcentral.
AUGAGAGUCCAACAUACGUUAGACCCAGCAGCUCACCAGACAAAAAGAAAGAAAGAACAACCUCUAAACUCAAGGAGUAGAAAGCGUGCAAGGACUGCAGAGGGAAGAAGAAAUGCGAACACAGAGGCUCCUAAACGAUUGAGAAAGGCUAAUGCUGAAGAACAUAGGGAAUCGAAGCGCGCCAGAAGCGAAACCAACAAAAACAACACUAGAGUCAAUGUUGGAGACAACAACAGAACCAGAACCUCGACAAGUGCUAAUAGCAAGCCAUGGAACUUCGGAAGGCCAACAUACAAAUGCCAAUAUUGCAAAGCAUUGCUAUGGUGUGAAGAAAUAUUAAAUUCAAACAAAGGAACUACGACACCCUCUUUUGGAAUAUGCUGCAAACAAGGGAAAAUCGAUCUGCCGCCACUAAGAGAACCUCCACCAUACCUUAGAAACCUCUUAAGAAGUGAAGGGCAGGAUUCAGUAAACUUCAAAGAAAAUAUAAGGUCAUACAACUCAAUGUUCUCAUUCACAUCGAUGGGAGGAGCUGUGGACAAGGAAAUAAACACUCGCAAAGGACCUUAUGUCUUUCGUUUGCAUGGACAAAACUACCACCAUAUCAGAACUCUUUUGCCUCAAGGUACAGACAAACCUCGGUUCGCACAGCUACACAUCUAUAAUACCGAAAAUGAGGUGGAAAAUAGGAUAAGUGUGUCAAGAUGCAAUGAUAAUAAAUCAACAGUGGACCCCAACAUCGUCAAAGAACUGAAGAUAAUGCUCGACGACAACAAUAUCCUUGCAAAAACAUUCAGAAUGGCAAGAGACAAAUUCCAAGAAGGAGACUACCAUGAUUACACACUUUGGAUACUAGGCAAAAGGAACGGAACACACAACCUUCCAUCCGCAUCUGAAGUUGCAGCAUUGGUAGUAAGAGAUCCAACCGGAGAGAGUGAAGGAUGUGACAUCGUUGUUGAGUACAAAAAUAUGGAGCCGCAAAGGAUAUCAGAGAUCCACCCGAAAUUCAUGUCCAUGCAAUAUCCGUUGUUGUUCCCAUAUGGAGAAGAUGGUUUUCAACUUGAGAUACCCUACAAGAAAACAAAAGGAGGUACAAACAACAGGAAAUACGUAACGUUAUUGGACUACUAUGCAUUCUACCUACAGCAACGUCCUGAUCAAGGAAUGUUACUGCUCAAGUCCGGGAAUUUGUCACUGCAAUUUUGGGUGGAUGUAUACACAUGUAUCGAGCAAAAUAGACUAAACUGGAUCCGACACAAUCAAUGA